GUCGUUAAUAGCAGAUUGGAUAUACCCAGACGGAUGAACCAGGUUUCCAAGGAGUGCCCACUCAUCGCUUUUUACCCUGCCACCCCAACCUUAAUUAAGAAUGAAGUUCACAAAUCUCAGUAGUGUAAUUUAGAUAUCAAUUUU
Non-coding RNA from Notechis scutatus (mainland tiger snake), 144 nucleotides. Lineage: Eukaryota; Metazoa; Chordata; Lepidosauria; Squamata; Elapidae. The record is from RefSeq and is a predicted model, not a curated record.